Molecule: ribosomal RNA, 209 nt
Filed under: Mackaya neesiana
Lineage: Eukaryota; Viridiplantae; Streptophyta; Magnoliopsida; Lamiales; Acanthaceae
Description: 5.8S ribosomal RNA
Rfam family: 5.8S ribosomal RNA (bases 1-152)
About the family: 5.8S ribosomal RNA (5.8S rRNA) is a component of the large subunit of the eukaryotic ribosome. It is transcribed by RNA polymerase I as part of the 45S precursor that also contains 18S and 28S rRNA. Functionally, it is thought that 5.8S rRNA may be involved in ribosome translocation.
Source: RNAcentral
CUCGGCAACGGAUAUCUCGGCUCUCGCAUCGAUGAAGAACGUAGCGAAAUGCGAUACUUGGUGUGAAUUGCAGAAUCCCGUGAACCAUCGAGUCUUUGAACGCAAGUUGCGCCCGAAGCCUUCGGGCCGAGGGCACGCCUGCCUGGGCGUCACGCAUCGCGUCGCCCCCCCCUCCUCCUCGCCCUCGGGCGGGGGGUGGUGCUGGGGGC